Molecule: transfer RNA, 74 nt
Filed under: Nitrososphaerota archaeon
Lineage: Archaea; Thermoproteati; Nitrososphaerota
Description: Thaumarchaeota archaeon tRNA-Ala
Rfam family: tRNA
About the family: Transfer RNA (tRNA) molecules are approximately 80 nucleotides in length. Their secondary structure includes four short double-helical elements and three loops (D, anti-codon, and T loops). Further hydrogen bonds mediate the characteristic L-shaped molecular structure. tRNAs have two regions of fundamental functional importance: the anti-codon, which is responsible for specific mRNA codon recognition, and the 3' end, to which the tRNAs corresponding amino acid is attached (by aminoacyl-tRNA synthetases). tRNAs cope with the degeneracy of the genetic code in two manners: having more than one tRNA (with a specific anti-codon) for a particular amino acid; and 'wobble' base-pairing, i.e. permitting non-standard base-pairing at the 3rd anti-codon position.
Source: RNAcentral
GGGCUGAUAGUUUAGACUGGUAGAAUAUCCGCCUUGCACGCGAAUGGUCGAGGGUUCAAAUCCCUCUCAGUCCA